Molecule: ribosomal RNA, 644 nt
Filed under: uncultured actinomycete
Lineage: Bacteria; Bacillati; Actinomycetota; Actinomycetes; Actinomycetales
Description: bacterial SSU rRNA
Rfam family: Bacterial small subunit ribosomal RNA
Source: RNAcentral
GCGGCCUAUCAGCUUGUUGGUGAGGUAAUGGCUCACCAAGGCGACGACGGGUAGCCGGCCUGAGAGGGUGACCGGCCACACUGGAACUGAGACACGGCCCAGACUCCUACGGGAGGCAGCAGUGGGGAAUAUUGCACAAUGGGCGCAAGCCUGAUGCAGCAACGCCGCGUGGGGGAUGACGGCCUUCGGGUUGUAAACCCCUUUUAGUAGGGAAGAAGCCUUCGGGUGACGGUACCUGCAGAAAAAGCGCCGGCUAACUACGUGCCAGCAGCCGCGGUAAUACGUAGGGCGCAAGCGUUAUCCGGAAUUAUUGGGCGUAAAGAGCUCGUAGGCGGCUUGUCGCGUCUGCUGUGAAAACUGGAGGCUCAACUUCCAGCGUGCAGUGGGUACGGGCAGGCUAGAGUGCGGUAGGGGAGAUUGGAAUUCCUGGUGUAGCGGUGGAAUGCGCAGAUAUCAGGAGGAACACCGAUGGCGAAGGCAGAUCUCUGGGCCGUAACUGACGCUGAGGAGCGAAAGAGUGGGGAGCGAACAGGCUUAGAUACCCUGGUAGUCCGCUCCGUAAACGUUGGGAACUAGUUGUGGGGGCCUUUCCACGGUCUCCGUGACGCAGCUAACGCAUUAAGUUCCCCGCCUGGGGAGUACGG